This 343-nucleotide ribosomal RNA is filed under the name Lepraria ulrikii. RNAcentral describes it as "SSU rRNA". It matches the Rfam family "Bacterial small subunit ribosomal RNA", at positions 378 to 749 of the family's 1533-position model. The record is from RNAcentral. Lineage: Eukaryota; Fungi; Ascomycota; Lecanoromycetes; Lecanorales; Stereocaulaceae.
AUAGCUUAUUGCACCAACAAAUAGUUGAUGUAAUAUUGACUCUGUCACAUAAAAUUCUAGGUAGAAUAAUGAUAAUGACAUUGUCUGCCUAUAUGUCUUGACCAAAUUACGUGCCAGCUGUCGCGGUAAUACGUAGAAGACUAGUGUUAUUCAUCUUUAAUAGGUUUAAAGGGUACCUAGACGGUAGAUCAAGCCUUCACAGGGACUAAUUUACUAGAGUUACUUACGAGGGGGUAUUAAAGUACUGCAGGUGUAGGGAUGAAAUUCUGUCACCUCUUUUCGAAAGAAAAAUUAUGGCACAGGUAUAGGUGAAAGCAUCCCCUUAUGUGAUAACUGACGUUGA